Long non-coding RNA from Lacerta agilis (Sand lizard), 597 nucleotides. RefSeq lists it as uncharacterized. The record is from RefSeq and is a predicted model, not a curated record. Lineage: Eukaryota; Metazoa; Chordata; Lepidosauria; Squamata; Lacertidae. The transcript is spliced from 2 exons.
AGCUGAGUCCCAGGCCACAGCCCCUCAUCAUCCUCAAAUUGUUUUGCCUGGCUGAAGAUCAUCCUUGAACUGAAGUAAUGAAUGCCUCUUGCUUCCUUGGACGAAGGGUGGAGGGCUAUGUGUGUGUUGAGAAACCUCUGGAAUGCAGCCUACUCUUCAAAGGGGAGAGUUAAAACGAAAACACCGAUCGUCUACUUUUUAGAAACAUCUUCGACGUGACUUGAACAGACCACCAAAAUGCAAAAUGGAGAUGGCUGGUUCUGAGCACUGGAAGAUGACCCAGAGAGGAGGAGGAGGAGGAAACGAACCUGUGAGAUGCUGAGAAGAAGGAAGACUGUAGGUUCAGUACAAAAGAAAUCGGACAAUGCAACGGAAAAGCUCAGCAAAGUUUAAAUGCACCUGGGUAAGAACAGCUGGCGACUGAUAUCUUUCUCAUGCUGUGAAAUUCCGCUAAGCAUUGCUAAGUACCAACUACUCAGAACUUUCCAUUAGAAGCCUAAGCAUAUAGGAUGUAAAACACCAGUGGAAGAUAGUUUAAACAAACACAAAGUUAAGAAACUGGUCCGGCCAUGUAGGUCAAAUAAAGAUAUUUUUUUU